GAAAAAAAAAAAAAACUCGAACUGAUCCUUGAGAAAUGGGAAAUUGAGAAGAGGUUGUUGGUCGUGUACCACUAAGGCACUAAGGAUGGGUUCUGUCUCUACGGCUUCUUUUAACAUACUGGUCCAAAUCUUGGUGGUCUUAGAAUACGACGAUUUUCAUGAGCCUUUUGACCCGAAUGUGACGGAUCUCAUCAACGGAAUAGGCAACAUCAAGAUCCUUCAAUUGACUUCUUCUGCUGUUGAGGUCAGUUUGAAGAUCCUUCGAUGUAUGAUGACGAUGAUGUUGACCAUGAUAAAUUGACUUGCGAAGAUUAGUUUGAUGGAGUGUACUGAAGAGAUGCGAGUCUACUAUUCAAAGACAAUUGCUGACGCCAAAAAGGUGCCAGUCAAGGAGGAUAUGUUGAAGCUUCCCAAGCUUCAUCUAGGCUUAAGAUGCAAGUUAUUUUAUCAUAGCCAACAUCACCGUCAUCGUCCAUCUGAUGUUCUUUUUCUUCGAAAACCAAUUCAUAAGGUCUUAAGUUUUUAAUGAUUUAUUAUUUAUGGUCAUAAUUCAUAAGUUCAUGUUUAGGUAUUGUGGUCCUUAAACUAUGGCAUGAACAAUUUUUGUUCCUUCUUGAACAUUUAACAACUCUGAUGUUCCUGAUUUUGUUUUGGUGCUGGCUUCUUCGUCCUCUUCUAUGUUACAACUGCUGCCAAAGUCUCUGAGUUUCACAGCCAAAGGAAGCAACUGGUACUUAGUGGUGUCUGGUACGAGGAUCCUUAUAUAUUCAGAUUGGUGUGUGAAAUCUGGAUGGCGAGGACACUUACCCGCAGGGUAUUCUUUAGUCGACUCUACGGGAGUUUUCACUCUCUUAUAGGUUAGAGGUGUGAGAGACCUACCUCUUGCUCUUCCAGAAAUGGAGAAUCUGUUAGAUAGUUUCCGGGAUCGCAAGGUUGAAACUGACCCAGCAGGCAGGACCUAACUGCGGUUAACAGUAGCUUCAGGGUCACUUUCUUUGACUGGCAUAUUGAAUAACCAACCAUAUCAUGAGCUGCGCAUAGACUCUGCCAAACCUCAAACAGUUUAAUUCUCAAUGAUAUGAAGUUAUCUUCCAACAGCCCUGUGCACGUGUAAAGACGGGAAGUAUCAGAGGAUGUAUGAGAGGGCGACAUGUAGAGACGGACUAAAAGUGAAGUUAAUAGUUUUUGAUCCAAUCAUGCCUGUGUCCAUGAAAAUUUUGCU
Molecule: long non-coding RNA, 1222 nt
Organism: Camelina sativa (false flax)
Lineage: Eukaryota; Viridiplantae; Streptophyta; Magnoliopsida; Brassicales; Brassicaceae
Source: RefSeq, a predicted model, not a curated record